This 478-nucleotide ribosomal RNA is filed under the name uncultured bacterium. RNAcentral's name for it is "bacterial SSU rRNA". It matches the Rfam family "Bacterial small subunit ribosomal RNA", at positions 21 to 507 of the family's 1533-position model. The record is from RNAcentral.
GGCUCAGGAUGAACGCUGGCGGCGUGCUUAACACAUGCAAGUCGAACGAAGAUGCCGGAGUGCUUGCACUUUGGCAGACUGAGUGGCGGACGGGUGAGUAACGCGUGGGUAACCUGCCUCACACAGGGGGAUAACAGUUGGAAACGGCUGCUAAUACCGCAUAAGCGCACAGUACCGCAUGGUACAGUGUGAAAAACUCCGGUGGUGUGAGAUGGACCCGCGUCUGAUUAGCUAGUUGGCAGGGCAACGGCCUACCAAGGCGACGAUCAGUAGCCGACCUGAGAGGGUGACCGGCCACAUUGGGACUGAGACACGGCCCAAACUCCUACGGGAGGCAGCAGUGGGGAAUAUUGCACAAUGGGGGAAACCCUGAUGCAGCGACGCCGCGUGAGCGAAGAAGUAUUUCGGUAUGUAAAGCUCUAUCAGCAGGGAAGAAGAAAUGACGGUACCUGACUAAGAAGCACCGGCUAAAUACGUG